AGGGUGGAAUGGGGAAAACUGCCUGAUCUCACCCUUCUCUCCCCCUCUGAUCUACUGCUAGUCCUUCCUGCUGGCCAAACCCAACCGGAUGGAAGUCAAAAGACCAGGGGUCCCGCAGAGGUAGCACACACGUGUCAACAUGGCAGCAACUCAGAACACGCACCAAUGUGGAGAAGGAUGGGACACAUUCCGGGAGUGCCAGUAGAAAUAUCCGUAUGCCAUGGAAACUAGGGCCUGAGGAAGUGCGUGUAAACCCUCAUGAUGCACCAUCUGCUGGAUCAGCAAGAUUAUGCUACAACCAGUCAUAUCCAACCACAUGCUGGAACUUUGAACUCACCUCAUCUGUGUGGCCAACUGUGGACCUGCAGACAACAUCGGAACACAAGAUUCCAGGACAAGUCUCAUGUGAAGACAAAGGAAAUACCCAGAUUGUAAAUAGGGUGAGUGUGCAGGCCCUUCUCGAGGUGCCCCUGGAACAGGCCCCUGAGGGACAUAUAUCAUGGCUGGAACCUAAUGCCUGGAGCCCUGUCUCAAAGCACAUCAUGGCUUCCAUCACUCUUUUGAUCUCUUUUAAUCACAAUCCCCAGCUCUCUGCGCCCUCUGCAAUCAGCCCAGCUUCCUCUAUUAUGGACAGAUCUGUGCACCCAGAUAUGCCCAGGACUUCUCACUGA
RNAcentral lists this long non-coding RNA (671 nucleotides) under Chinchilla lanigera (long-tailed chinchilla). RNAcentral describes it as "lncRNA (ENSCLAG00000028153.1)". Lineage: Eukaryota; Metazoa; Chordata; Mammalia; Rodentia; Chinchillidae. The record is from RNAcentral.